RNAcentral lists this ribosomal RNA (916 nucleotides) under uncultured bacterium. Its description in RNAcentral is "bacterial SSU rRNA". It matches the Rfam family "Bacterial small subunit ribosomal RNA", at positions 246 to 1155 of the family's 1533-position model. The record is from RNAcentral.
UUGUUGGUAAGGUAAAAGCUUACCAAGGCUUCGAUCAGUAGCUGGUCUGAGAGGACGACCAGCCACACUGGGACUGAGACACGGCCCAGACUCCUACGGGAGGCAGCAGUGGGGAAUUUUGGACAAUGGGGGCAACCCUGAUCCAGCCAUGCCGCGUGAGUGAAGAAGGCCUUCGGGUUGUAAAGCUCUUUCAGCCGGAACGAAACGGUUACGGAUAACACCCGUGACUACUGACGGUACCGGAAGAAGAAGCACCGGCUAACUACGUGCCAGCAGCCGCGGUAAUACGUAGGGUGCGAGCGUUAAUCGGAAUUACUGGGCGUAAAGCGUGCGCAGGUGGUUUUGUAAGUCAGAUGUGAAAGCCCCGGGCUCAACCUGGGAACUGCGUUUGAAACUACAAGACUAGAGUGUGGCAGAGGGGGGUGGAAUUCCGCGUGUAGCAGUGAAAUGCGUAGAGAUGUGGAGGAACACCGAUGGCGAAGGCAGCCCCCUGGGUCAACACUGACGCUCAGGCACGAAAGCAUGGGGAGCAAACAGGAUUAGAUACCCUGGUAGUCCAUGCCCUAAACGAUGUCAACUAGUUGUCGGGCCUUUACGGGCUUGGUAACGUAGCUAACGCGUGAAGUUGACCGCCUGGGGAGUACGAUCGCAAGAUUAAAACUCAAAUGAAUUGACGGGGACCCGCACAAGCGGUGGAUUAUGUGGAUUAAUUCGAUGCAACGCGAAAAACCUUACCUACCCUUGACAUGUAUCGAAGCCCGCAGAAAAGCGGGGGUGCCCGAAAGGGAACGAUAACACAGGUGCUGCAUGGCUGUCGUCAGCUCGUGUCGUGAGAUGUUGGGUUAAGUCCCGCAACGAGCGCAACCCUUGUCAUUAAUUGCCAUCAUUUAGUUGGGCACUUUAAUGAGACUGCCGG